Molecule: long non-coding RNA, 968 nt
Filed under: Mustela putorius furo (domestic ferret)
Lineage: Eukaryota; Metazoa; Chordata; Mammalia; Carnivora; Mustelidae
Description: lncRNA (ENSMPUG00000029801.1)
Source: RNAcentral
CUGUGAGUCCCCAGACUGCAAGACAGUGGCUGCAUUCCGAGACUUCAGCAGGCACAAAGUGAGAGAGACCCGUGUCAUCGCUGGGCAACUGACGCCGCUGUCGACCUCUAAGUCUGUGUGCCCCGUGACUGGACACCAAUCCCAGUGCGGCACAGCUAUCUGCUUCUUGGAGCUGUCACCCCUCAAGACUUGCAUUCCUGUGCUGGGCAUGACACAGGAGCUCAUCAGUCAGAAGAUGGAGGCUCUAGAACCAUUUCCUUCCCCUGAGAGAAGUGUCUGUCUGUGAAUAAUGAAAACUGCUUUGUUCUUGACUCAAUCAUAGAAUGAUAGGUAAGUAGUAAUUCUGGGAAAUGUGGUAAAGUGCUCUUGCACACAGGGUGAAGAAAAGACAUGAAAAUAAAAUUACAGAAAGCGAAUCUAUUCAGUAUUUCCGAAUUCGACUUAUCAACCUCCAAUCUCAAAUUGGUUAGAUUUCUCACACAAAGAACGCUGACCUGAGCAUUUGAAGAGUUGAGUCUCAACUUUGCCACCAACUGUUGAGUGUGAGAUCUUGUCAGGUAGAGGAAUGUCACAUGAUGGCCAUUUCUAAUUGGAGUGCUUAGGACAAGCCAUAGUUAGCAAGUCUAGGUGGUGUGGUGGCAGUGGUGGCCAAGGGUCGUAAUGCUGAGAGGCCUGAGGUAGGGAGGGAAGGACUGUGCCUGUGGGCUACCAGCUUCAGCUGAAGAGGAAUUAGUCCCAUCACGUUUUUUUUUUUUUUUAAGUUUAUUUUUUCAGUGUGCCAAGAUUCAUUGUUUAUGUACCACACCCAGUGCUCCAUUCAAUACAUGCCCUACUUAAUACAUACCACCAGGCUCACCUAACCCCCACCUCCCUCCCCUCCAAAACCCUGUUUUUUUCUCAGAAGAAAGGUCGGGAAGGCUACACCUUCUACAGUGCACAAGAUGAUCUUUGCAUCCACAAACAUCUAU